AGGCCUUUCCUUUUGUUUUGAGUCUUUCGUUUGAGAUUAAAUUCCCCUUUUUGUACAUAUUUAUGUUUGAACAAAUAAUUCUGGACUGGCCGACCUAGAGGUCAAGAGAAACAGAGUUGGCCCUGGACCAAGGUAGCUGUUGCUCUCUCCCUGGGUACAUGUAUAUUCAACACCUGGUCACAUGAUUUCUCACAAAUGCACAUUCAUUCAGGUUACAGACCAGUUAGCUGGGUCGCUGAUCCCUAGACAUAAUGAGUCAGGUUACAGACCAGUUAGCUGGGUCGCAGAUCCCUAGACAUAACGAGUCAGGUUAUAGACCAGUUAGCUGGGUCGCAGAUCCCUAGACAUAACGAGUCAGGUUACAGACCAGUUAGCUGGGUCGCAGAUCCCUAGACAUAACGAGUCAGGUUAUAGACCAGUUAGCUGGGUCGCAGAUCCCUAGACAUAACGAGUCAGGUUAUAGACCAGUUAGCUGGGUCGCAGAUCCCUAGACAUAACGAGUCAGGUUAUAGACCAGUUAGCUGGGUCGCAGAUCCCUAGACAUAACGAGUCAGGUUAUAGACCAGUUAGCUGGGUCGCAGAUCCCUAGACAUAACGAGUCAGGUUAUAGACCAGUUAGCUGGGUCGCAGAUCCCUAGACAUAACGAGUCAGGUUAUAGACCAGUUAGCUGGGUCGCAGAUCCCUAGACAUAACGAGUCAGGUUAUAGACCAGUUAGCUGGGUCGCAGAUCCCUAGACAUAACGAGUCAGGUUAUAGACCAGUUAGCUGGGUCGCUGAUCCCUAGACAUAACGAGUCAGGUUAUAGACCAGUUAGCUGAUCCCUAGACAUAACGAGUCAGGUUAUAGACCAGUUAGCUGAUCCCUAGACAUAACGAGUCAGGUUAUAGACCAGUUAGCUGGGUCGCAGAUCCCUAGACAUAACGAGUCAGGUUAUAGACCAGUUAGCUGAUCCCUAGACAUAACGAGUCAGGUUAUAGACCAGUUAGCUGGGUCGCAGAUCCCUAGACAUAACGAGUCAGGUUAUAGACCAGUUAGCUGGGUCGCAGAUCCCUAGACAUAACGAGUCAGGUUAUAGACCAGUUAGCUGGGUCGCUGAUCCCUAGACAUAACGAGUCAGGUUACAGACCAGUUAGCUGGGUCGCAGAUCCCUAGACAUAACGAGUCAGGUUAUAGACCAGUUAGCUGGGUCGCAGAUCCCUAGACAUAACGAGUCAGGUUACAGACCAGUUAGCUGGGUCGCAGAUCCCACGUGUAACCACGCCAGCCCAGGACCUCCAGAUCAGGCUUCUUCACCUAUGGGAUGGUCUGAGACCAGCGACCUAGACAGCUGAUGAAACUGGAGAGUAUAUGUGGAUGUAAUAAACACAAAAUAUUUUGUGUGGAAAAACUUAUUCCGAUUGGCUGGGCCUGGAUCCCCAGUGGGUGGGCCUAGCCCCCAAGUGGGUAGGGGCCACCCAUGGCUGCCCUGUCAAAUCCAUAGAUUAGGGCCUAAUUUAUUUAUUUCAAUUGACUGAUUUGCUUACAUGAAACUGUAACUCACUGAAAUCGUUGAUAUAUUGUUGCACGUCGCGUUUAUAUAUUUUUGUUCAGUAUAGAUUGCUUAUGAAUAAUCACCAUUAAUAAAUGGAACAAUGAUUAUGUUAUUCAAUGUACUGACUCCAAAGUGUGGCACGCAGGCCACAGAGCCUAUUUCAAUGCAUACAUGCUCUUAUUAUGCACAACAAAAAUAUAUACUUUUUUUUACAUAGGCCUUAACAAAAGAUCAGUAGGCCUGUGCUAGUAAUUGUGUCUUGACGUCCCAUUGCUGGUGAGCCUGCAAAGUAAACAGUUCAUAUUUUUGAUCACCAACAUUUUUUGGAGCCGGACAUUUAUUAUGGCAAUCCUCUCUCCGUACAAUUUCACUGCACCCAAUCCUAUAGCUGUACAACAAAUCAGCAAUCUGUUCUCUGGCGCACUGGACCUUUGUUGAUUGACAGCUUGCUGGACCAAUCAGAGGUCAGAGUGUGCAUUUCAUAAGCCAAUCUGUUGCCCUUUUUACUCUAAGGGCAAUGCUGUGGCUACUGCCUCUGGCUGCAUGGAGAGUUAUCCACAGAGACUGUGCCACAAGUCCAGAGUCUUGACGCUCCGAAGUCAAGUCUCAAAUAAUGACAUUUUCUAUCAAAUCGAGUCUCAAGACACAUCUGUGAGACAAGGAGACUCACCCAAUGGUCCCGGUAGGGGACAGGGAUAAGGACA
Long non-coding RNA from Oncorhynchus keta (chum salmon), 2236 nucleotides. RefSeq lists it as uncharacterized. The record is from RefSeq and is a predicted model, not a curated record. The transcript is spliced from 7 exons. NCBI's taxonomy places the organism in Eukaryota, Metazoa, Chordata, Actinopteri, Salmoniformes, Salmonidae.